UGGGGAAUUUUGGACAAUGGGGGCGACCUUGAUCCAGCCAUCCCGCGUGUGCGAUGAAGGCUUCGGGUUGUAAAGCACUUAUUGGCAGGGAAGAAAAGGUCGCGGGUUAAUACCACGGCGCCGCUGACGGUACACUGUCAGAAUAAGCACCGGCUAACUCGUGCCAGCAGCCGCGGUAAUACGUAGGGUGCAAUCGCGAAUCGAAUGACUGGAGCGUAAAGCGUCGCGUCAGGCGGUUCGGCAAGAAGGAUGUGAAAUGCCCGGGGCUUCAACCUCGGAACUGCAUUCUGUAUACUGCCGGGCUAGAGUAUGUCAGAGGGGGGUAGAAUCCCACGUGUAGCAGGUGAAAUGCGUAGAAUGUGGAGGAAUACCGAUGGCGAAGGCAGCCCCCUGGGAUGAUACUGACGCUCAUGCACGAAAGCGUGGGGAGCAAACAGGAUUAGAUACCCUGGUAGUCCACGCCCUAA
This 467-nucleotide ribosomal RNA is filed under the name uncultured bacterium. RNAcentral's name for it is "bacterial SSU rRNA". It matches the Rfam family "Bacterial small subunit ribosomal RNA", at positions 355 to 805 of the family's 1533-position model. The record is from RNAcentral.